UACGGAGGGUGCAAGCGUUAUCCGGAUUCACUGGGUUUAAAGGGUGCGUAGGAGGGCAGGUAAGUCAGUGGUGAAAUCUCCGAGCUUAACUUGGAAACUGCCGUUGGUACUAUCUGUCUUGAAUAUUGUGGAGGUGAGCGGAAUAUGUCAUGUAGCGGUGAAAUGCUUAGAUAUGACAUAGAACACCAAUUGCGAAGGCAGCUCGCUACACAUAUAUUGACUCUGAGGCACGAAAGCGUGGGGAUCAAACAGG
RNAcentral lists this ribosomal RNA (253 nucleotides) under uncultured bacterium. RNAcentral's name for it is "partial 16S ribosomal RNA". It matches the Rfam family "Bacterial small subunit ribosomal RNA", at positions 524 to 776 of the family's 1533-position model. The record is from RNAcentral.